GGGGAUUUAGCUCAGCGGCAUAAGUACUUGCCUUGCAAGCAGGUGGUCGUGAGUUCAAUCCCCA
This is a transfer RNA of Cavia porcellus (domestic guinea pig), 64 nucleotides long. It matches the Rfam family "tRNA". Rfam says of the family: Transfer RNA (tRNA) molecules are approximately 80 nucleotides in length. Their secondary structure includes four short double-helical elements and three loops (D, anti-codon, and T loops). Further hydrogen bonds mediate the characteristic L-shaped molecular structure. tRNAs have two regions of fundamental functional importance: the anti-codon, which is responsible for specific mRNA codon recognition, and the 3' end, to which the tRNAs corresponding amino acid is attached (by aminoacyl-tRNA synthetases). tRNAs cope with the degeneracy of the genetic code in two manners: having more than one tRNA (with a specific anti-codon) for a particular amino acid; and 'wobble' base-pairing, i.e. permitting non-standard base-pairing at the 3rd anti-codon position. Lineage: Eukaryota; Metazoa; Chordata; Mammalia; Rodentia; Caviidae. The record is from Rfam.